GUUUUAAAAAUAAAAUAACACUUUUUAGAGUUUUUGUGUUUAAAGUUAUGAGCAGAAUGACUCCCGUCCUUCUCUUGUCUCACCUUGCCUUACAGGGAGAGCACCUGCUCUGGAUCUGUGGGGGACAUUGGGGCAGAUGAAAUGCCAUACAACAACAUACAACGUGACAGUUGAUUAUCUUCCUUGGGCUGUGUUAAUGGACCCUGCCAGGCUCAGGUCUGGAUGCAGGCAUCUAGUUAAUAGAGUACCCGAAUGUCCGCGCACCUGUCAUCAAUCACCAUUAAAGCACGGGAAAAACACAGCUCUCGGCUACGUUUAGGAACACAAAUUCAGGAGUUGAGCUGAGCAGACUCGGGGAGUGCUUCGGAGGCAUCGGUGCUGGGCUUCAUAUGUCCCCUGAUUCAGAAUGCUGCUCCCCGACUCGUCUUCAACCUUCCCAAGUUCUCCCAAGUCACUCCUCUGCUGAGUUCACUCCACUGGCUACCGGUCGCUGCCAGGACCAGGUUCAAAGUCCAGAUCCUCGCCUACCCUGCAGCCAACAGGACGGCCCCCGGCUACUUACAGGACAUGAUUCAAUCCUACACGCCAGCUCGACCACUCCGCUCUGUGGAAACAGGGCCACUUGCACCCCUGCCAUUCGGAUGAAUCUGGGAUAAUUUUUAUCACUUAAAUUCCCCUCUUUUAUGCUACACAUGUACCUCCUGUGCCAAUUUCAUGUUACCUGUACUGCCAUCCAGCACUUAUACUGUACUUUGUAACAUUAUCUUAAUGUUGUAGCUUGUCAUGCCUCCUAGUUUUACUUAGCAGACGUUAGGUCAGAGUAAUGUUUAAUGUGUGAACUGGACUUAAUGUGUUCAUGGCUAUGAAUAACUGUUACAAAAUGAGUAUUGUGCCUUAUUGGAUCUGUGUUUUGUAGUUGUUCCAAUGACCUUCUUUAUGCACUUAUUGUACGUCACUUUGGAUAAAAACGUCUGCCGAAUAAUGCAAUGUAAUGGGUUUGCCUCCCUCUGCUGGAUAGAAAAUGGCAUUACAACAGAGGAAAUCCGAUUUGAAAAAUGUUGCAAUGUACAAGUCGAUUUUUCUGUGUGGUUAUCAAAUGUAUGUGGACUUUAAUGCUGCACACAAGUUGCCCUCUGGUGAUAAUAAAGAUC
Molecule: long non-coding RNA, 1151 nt
Organism: Anguilla rostrata (American eel)
Lineage: Eukaryota; Metazoa; Chordata; Actinopteri; Anguilliformes; Anguillidae
Exons: 3
Source: RefSeq, a predicted model, not a curated record